CCCUUAGAUGUUCUGGGCCGCACGCGCGUUACAAUGAUGCACUCAACAGGCAUAUAACCUUGGCCGAGAGGCCUGGGUAAUCCCGUUAACUUGCAUCGUGUUAGGGAUAGAUUAUUGCAAUUAUUAAUCUUGAACGAGGAAUUCCUAGUAAUCGCAGAUCAUCAAUCUGCAAUGAUUACGUCCCUGCCCUUUGUACACACCGCCCGUCGCACCUACCGAUUGAAUGGUCCGGUGAAGACUCGGGAUCGUGGCUUAGUCGCUUGCGUCCGACUGCUGAAACUUGAUUAAACCAUAUCAUUUAGAGGAAGGUGAAGUCGUAACA
This 322-nucleotide ribosomal RNA is filed under the name uncultured eukaryote. Its description in RNAcentral is "partial 18S ribosomal RNA". It matches the Rfam family "Eukaryotic small subunit ribosomal RNA", at positions 1470 to 1796 of the family's 1831-position model. The record is from RNAcentral.